GACCUGAAGCAGCAACGCCGCGUGUGCGAUGAAGGUCUUCGGAGUCGUAAAGCACUUUUCUGCGAGAUGAGAAAGGACAGUAUCGUAGGAAUAAGUCUCGGCUAACUACGUGCCAGCAGCCGGCGGUAACACGUAGGAGGCGAGCGUUAUCCGGAUUCACUGGGCGUAAAGCGCGUGCAGGCGGUUUGGUAAGUUGGGCGUGAAAGCUCCCGGCUCAACUGGGAGAGGUCGUUCAAUACUACCGAACUAGAGAGUAGAAGAGGAAGAUGGAAUUCCCGGUGUAGUGGUGAAAUGCGUAGAUAUCGGGAGGAACACCAAUGGCGAAGGCGAUCUUCUGGUCUAUUUCUGACGCUCAGACGCGACAGCUAGGGUAGUAAACGGGAUUAGAGACCCCGGUAAUCCUAGCCGUAAACGAUGUGAACUUGGCGUCGGUGGCUUAAACACCAUCGGUGCCGAAGCAAACGCGAUAAGUUCACCGCCUGGGGACUACGGCCGCAAGGUUA
Molecule: ribosomal RNA, 503 nt
Filed under: uncultured Chloroflexota bacterium
Lineage: Bacteria; Bacillati; Chloroflexota
Description: bacterial SSU rRNA
Rfam family: Bacterial small subunit ribosomal RNA
Source: RNAcentral